This 253-nucleotide ribosomal RNA is filed under the name uncultured bacterium. RNAcentral's name for it is "partial 16S ribosomal RNA". It matches the Rfam family "Bacterial small subunit ribosomal RNA", at positions 524 to 776 of the family's 1533-position model. The record is from RNAcentral.
UACGGGGGGGGCAAGCGUUGUUCGGAAUUACUGGGCGUAAAGCGCGCGUAGGCGGCUUUGCAAGUCGGGUGUGAAAUCCCCAGGCUUAACCUGGGAACUGCAUUCGAGACUGCAUUGCUAGAGUAUGGGAGAGGGAAGUGGAAUUUCCGGUGUAGCGGUGAAAUGCGUAGAUAUCAAGUGGAACACCAGUGGCGAAGGCGAGUCUCUGGACAUUUCCUGACGCUGAGGCACGAAAGCCAGGGGAGCAAACGGG